RNAcentral lists this ribosomal RNA (404 nucleotides) under uncultured bacterium. Its description in RNAcentral is "bacterial SSU rRNA". It matches the Rfam family "Bacterial small subunit ribosomal RNA", at positions 355 to 776 of the family's 1533-position model. The record is from RNAcentral.
UGGGGAAUAUUGGACAAUGGGCGCAAGCCUGAUCCAGCAAUGCCGCGUGGGUGAAGAAGGUCUUCGGAUUGUAAAGCCCUUUCGACAGGGACGAUGAUGACGGUACCUGUAGAAGAAGCCCCGGCUAACUUCGUGCCAGCAGCCGCGGUAAUACGAAGGGGGCUAGCGUUGCUCGGAAUUACUGGGCGUAAAGGGCGCGUAGGCGGCGCUGCAAGUCAGGCGUGAAAUUCCUGGGCUUAACCUGGGGGCUGCGCUUGAGACUGUGGUGCUAGAGGAUGGAAGAGGGUCGUGGAAUUCCCAGUGUAGAGGUGAAAUUCGUAGAUAUUGGGAAGAACACCGGUGGCGAAGGCGGCGACCUGGUCCAUUACUGACGCUGAGGCGCGACAGCGUGGGGAGCAAACAGG